This 77-nucleotide transfer RNA is filed under the name Actinoplanes derwentensis. RNAcentral describes it as "tRNA-Gln". The record is from RNAcentral. Lineage: Bacteria; Bacillati; Actinomycetota; Actinomycetes; Micromonosporales; Micromonosporaceae.
GUCGAUCCUGGCGAUGGCGGUCGCCGCCGCUCUGACCGGGGAGCUGGGCCGGCGGCUGUUCGGGCCGCUGGUCGGCU